Molecule: long non-coding RNA, 1360 nt
Filed under: Aquilegia coerulea
Lineage: Eukaryota; Viridiplantae; Streptophyta; Magnoliopsida; Ranunculales; Ranunculaceae
Description: long non-coding RNA (ACOE_LNC002216)
Source: RNAcentral
CUCCCAACCGCUGUCAACCAAUCGAUGACAAUGCUGAAUUAUAAAAUUCUGUUAUUAGAGUACCUGAAAAACUCAAAUUCCAGUUGCCCAAGUCUAUAUCACUUGUUUGUCAGCAGUUCCAAAUGAGAGCCCUUCAUUGAAAUCGUCUUUAGUUCCCAGUGUAAGGAUAAUGACUUGACCAACUGAAAGAAGCUUUUCCUUUGUUUUGUAAUGUGUCUGAAACACAACACCGUCAAGUCAUUAUCAAAUGGGAACCUUCAACCUUAUUGUUGUAAGUCCAGUCAGCCUGCUAGUAAUGGAAUCUGGUUGAUUAUUAACAAAGCUCCGAUGCAACAAUUAUAAAACAAAUGGAUGAGGUCUAUCUGGUUCCAAAAAUAAUAUGUCAAAAAGGCAAUGAAAAAAUAAUCGGACAACCAACAAAUAGAUAUAUAGUAAUUACUUCACCUCAUAUGAUACAGUAACAAUAUAUGUUGCAGGUUGAAGAGAUAAGAACUGUGGUUGCACAUCCAUUUACUGGUAAGAUUAAGUUUAAACCAUACAGAGUAAGAUCUAAGUUUAGGGGGUUCCCGAGAGCUAGGAGUUAAGGAUGUGUGUUCUAACAUGACACCAAAUGCAACAUAAUGUAAAGAAGUCAGUAUACUUGCUCCCUACUUGUAGACAUGAUAAAUUUUGUCCCAGGGUAGUAACAGAACCCCACUUCCUCCACCACCUCUAUUCUGUCUAACACUAUCAUAUUCAAAAUUACCUAAGUAGUUAUAUUCUUCUAAUGAGAGAAACUCGGCAAUGCACUAACGUGCAACUCUUUUUUCCUUAGCAAUAUUAGAUGAGCCAGUUCCAUCAUCUAUUUUCUCCAUAAAAAUUUCAAAAGUUGUUGUAGACCAAAAUCAUGCAUUAACAUUAUUAUCAAUACUGUUAUCCAAUUUGAUUACAAUCGAUCAUUUGUUUCAUUUUUAAGUAGGAUCUUUUCUUUAGGUACUUCCAAGACGUAUGUAAACAUUGUAAGCAGUUUAUCAAUCAUUAUAAUCUAAGAAACAAUUAAUCACAAAUGACCAUAGCAAAAUAAAUAUUAAUCACUAUCACUGUCAUGUGUAAAGGUUUGUCAGUGCUUUAAUUCAAUAAGAUUUAACCAUUCAACAAAAUUGCAUAACCUAAAUGUUUAAUUUGCUCUGAACAAUACCUUAUGUCUAGAAAAACAUUUUGGUCUGGCUCAACUAUCCAUAGUCUGUAGUCUUCCACAAUAAUUUUUUUCAUGUCACCAUGUUAAUAUUUGCUGGUUUGCCCUGACAUUCUUGAAUUAUUUGCAAAAGCAGAUGAAAAUAACAUUGAUCUUGGUAUUCUUAUAUAAUUUUAAAUUCCAAAA